CGUCACACUCAUGAAUGUGUUGACAGAAAGGAUUCACAUUGAUUGCGCCUUAUAUUUUGUGUUCUUUGCGAGUUCUUUAGUUGUCAUUUGAUAGCUGAGUUUUCCCAUAGAUUCUGUUUCUUGAAAAUGCAAAACUCUUUUGGAAAGACGGACUGCUGUGGAAAUCUUGCCAAUGGAAUUUGCUACGAGCUCAUACCUCUUGAAGUAGAUGAUGUGUUAACUACUUGUACCACGAAAAUACACGCAAGGGAAUGCGAUGCUUUCUUACGUUCUCACUCUGUGGAAGGACAUCAGUAAACAGGCACGGGAGCCAGUCGACAAAAUCUUGGUGGUGAAGAUUUAUUGUGCAGCACAUUUUAGUUCAGGCGCCACUGUAUAGACUGGUUUUGGACCAAAAACCAGGAACAUUCAGUUGUGCGUUUUACAGGAUUCGAACCACGGAUUUUUCUCUUGCUAACUGGAGAUGUUAACCCACCAGGAGAGCCACGUAGGGGUGUACGAUAAUUUCUUACUAAGUUAACAAGAGUAUAGAGAAAAUAUUGCUAAAUUUUAAGCUCAAAAUGUAUGUUUCGGAUGCUUUUUAAAAUCUGUGACCUUAAUAAAUAACAUUUAUGUAAAUAUGAUAAAAGAAUAAUGAAAAAAACUGAAUAAAUUACUUAUGUUGCAUAAACCUUCCAGGCAAAUCGGAAAAGUUGUUAGUAAUGUAUUGCUGAUUAAAUUCCUGAAGAAUUUGUUACAACAUUUUAUAACUGUUUAGAUAAAAAUUGCUUAAUGUUAAAAAUACUAAUAUUAUUUCAAAAUCAGUGCUAUAACGCGAAAAUACAUAUUUCAAAAUCAGUGCUAUAACGCGAAAGUCUGUUUGGACUGCUCGGAAUCACUUUGCAUCAUAUUAAGGCAAAUAUCAUAAAGAUACCUACACGAGGUUGUAAACGAGGUGUCACGAAAGCUUUCAUUAACAAUUGGUUCUAUUAUUUUUUUUUAGAAAAUUCGUAAUUUGUUAUACGAUCCCCUUACAAGUGGACAAUGCGUCCAAUUUGCUCUUAGCGUUGCUUUCUGAGGCGUGAAUUUUCUUUCAGUAUUGUGUAAUUUGUUCCGACAGCUUUUCUGACAUUCAGAUAUUUGACAUUCGAAACAGAUUCUAACUGUCAACUGAGAAGUUAUGCGAAUUUUCUCAUGCAAAAGGAAAGAUGUGAGAUAGCAAAGGAAAAACAGGGAAAAGAAAAACAACCCGAGUUUACUGAGAAAUUAAUUUAGUUUCGUUAUCAAAAUUUCUGUAGCGCUAGAUGAUUUUAACGAGCUUGUAAGAUCGCAAAAUUAAUCUUUAAUACAGUAAGCUUUCGUAAACCUUACUGUUAUCCGAUUUAUUAGCAGACAUCUGUAAAAUAUAUUAAUGCAAAUGUGGAUAAUAAUAUAUAUUAAUCCACGAUGUUUUUAAAUUUUAAGAUUAAAUAAGACGUUCGAGCAUUUUUAAUAAUCAAAGUCAUGAUUAAAUGAUCAUGAUUAAUCCACAAUUUCCAAUUUAU
This is a long non-coding RNA of Stegodyphus dumicola, 1523 nucleotides long. Lineage: Eukaryota; Metazoa; Arthropoda; Arachnida; Araneae; Eresidae. The record is from RefSeq and is a predicted model, not a curated record.